UCCCUGGUGGCUCAGAGGUUAAAGCGUCUGCCUCCAAUGCAGGAGACCCAGGUUCGAUCCCUGGGUUGGGAA
This 72-nucleotide transfer RNA is filed under the name Odocoileus virginianus texanus. It matches the Rfam family "tRNA". From Rfam's summary of the family: Transfer RNA (tRNA) molecules are approximately 80 nucleotides in length. Lineage: Eukaryota; Metazoa; Chordata; Mammalia; Artiodactyla; Cervidae. The record is from Rfam by way of RNAcentral. RNAcentral also lists the same sequence under 6 other names.